AUACGAUCUAAUCUCGGCAUCGAGGAAAGAAUGAAAGGUGGCCUCUAUUUAUAAGCUAUACACUGAAGGAGGGGAUUGCGUCUGAUUAGCUAGUUGGAGGGGUAACGGCCCACCAAGGCGAUGAUCAGUAGCCGGUCUGAGAGGAUGAACGGCCACAUUGGGACUGAGACACGGCCCAGACUCCUACGGGAGGCAGCAUG
This 200-nucleotide ribosomal RNA is filed under the name uncultured bacterium. RNAcentral describes it as "partial 16S ribosomal RNA". It matches the Rfam family "Bacterial small subunit ribosomal RNA", at positions 166 to 353 of the family's 1533-position model. The record is from RNAcentral.